UUAAAUUGAGAGUUUGAUCCUGGCUCAGGAUGAACGCUGGCGGCGUGCCUAAUACAUGCAAGUCGAACGAAACUUCUUUAUCACCGAGUGCUUGCACUCGCCGAUAAAGAGUUGAGUGGCGAACGGGUGAGUAACACGUGGGCAACCUGCCCAAAAGAGGGGGAUAACACUUGGAAACAGGUGCUAAUACCGCAUAACCAUAGUUACCGCAUGGUAACUAUGUAAAAGGUGGAUAUGCUACCGCUUUUGGAUGGGCCCGCGGCGCAUUAGCUAGUUGGUGAGGUAAAGGCUUACCAAGGCAAUGAUGCGUAGCCGAACUGAGAGGUUGAUCGGCCACAUUGGGACUGAGACACGGCCCAAACUCCUACGGGAGGCAGCAGUAGGGAAUCUUCCACAAUGGGCGAAAGCCUGAUGGAGCAACGCCGCGUGGGUGAAGAAGGUCUUCGGAUCGUAAAACCCUGUUGUUAGAGAAGAAAGUGCGUGAGAGUAACUGUUCACGUUUCGACGGUAUCUAACCAGAAAGCCACGGCUAACUACGUGCCAGCAGCCGCGGUAAUACGUAGGUGGCAAGCGUUAUCCGGAUUUAUUGGGCGUAAAGGGAACGCAGGCGGUCUUUUAAGUCUGAUGUGAAAGCCUUCGGCUUAACCGGAGUAGUGCAUUGGAAACUGGGAGACUUGAGUGCAGAAGAGGAGAGUGGAACUCCAUGUGUAGCGGUGAAAUGCGUAGAUAUAUGGAAGAACACCAGUGGCGAAAGCGGCUCUCUGGUCUGUAACUGACGCUGAGGUUCGAAAGCGUGGGUAGCAA
Molecule: ribosomal RNA, 804 nt
Filed under: Ligilactobacillus animalis
Lineage: Bacteria; Bacillati; Bacillota; Bacilli; Lactobacillales; Lactobacillaceae
Description: bacterial SSU rRNA
Rfam family: Bacterial small subunit ribosomal RNA
Source: RNAcentral